AAUGAACGCUGGCGGCGUGCUUAACACAUGCAAGUCGCACGAGAACUCCUUAGCUUGCUAGGGAUAGUAAAGUGGCGAACGGGUGAGUAACGCGUGGGUAAUCUUCCCUCGAAUCGGGGAUAACAUUGCGAAAGCGAUGCUAAUACCGGAUAAUAUUGCUCGGAUCUCGGUCCGUGCAAUCAAAGGUGGCCUCUACAUGUAAGCUACCGUUUGAGGAUGAGCCCGCGUCCCAUUAGCUUGUUGGUAUGGGUAACGGCCUACCAAGGCGACGAUGGGUAGCUGGUCUGAGAGGAUGAUCAGCCACACUGGAACUGACACACGGUCCAGACUCCUACGGGAGGCAGCAGUGAGGAAUUUUGCGCAAUGGGCGAAAGCCUGACGCAGCAACGCCGCGUGAGUGAUGAAGGCUCUCGGGUCGUAAAGCUCUGUCAAGUGGGAAGAACCCGCAUGAUAUGAAUACUAUCAUGCGCUGGCGGUACCACUGAAGGAAGCACCGGCUAACUCCGUGCCAGCAGCCGCGGUAAUACGGGGGGUGCAAGCGUUAUUCGGAAUUAUUGGGCGUAAAGGGCGCGUAGGCGGCCUGGUAAGUCAGAUGUGAAAUCCCGGGGCUUAACCCCGGAAGUGCAUUUGAU
RNAcentral lists this ribosomal RNA (632 nucleotides) under uncultured bacterium. RNAcentral describes it as "bacterial SSU rRNA". It matches the Rfam family "Bacterial small subunit ribosomal RNA", at positions 28 to 631 of the family's 1533-position model. The record is from RNAcentral.